ACGGGGCGGGGAGCGGGCCGGAGAGCGGGGCCGCCCGCGAGCUUGGAAUCGGCGGCACCGCCGCUGCCGCCGCGGAGGGCGAGGGCGAAGGCGGAGUUCUGUCGCUUGAGAAAGCUGAUGUCACCUUUGUAGGCAGGAACGACUUUAUCGCGGUUUCCACGGCAACGAGCGUCGUUUUGGAGAGGCCCGGGGACGCCGCGCUUGGGCCUGCUCGCAGUGGCUCCCGGUGUCCCCAGGCCGGUCCCCGGGCUGGUGUCCCCGGGCGGGUGUGUCCUGGCGGGUGUCCCCGAGCUGGUGUCCCCGGGCGGGUGUCCCCGAGCUGGUGUCCCCGGGCGGGUGUCCCCGAGCUGGUGUCCCCGGGCGGGUGUCCCCGGCCCGGGCGGCGGGCAGCGAACCCUCUUUGUCCGCACUUCUAGCCACGCGAAAGGAAAACAGCGGGUCCAAAGGACAGCAAGCAGUUUUUCAGCCUUCCUUAAAACAAGCUACCUUGGACGAAGCCUAUUUCAGCAGACCAGACCUGAAGGAUGUGCCAGACAGAGCUGUGUGCAGAUGAGAGCAGCUUCAUGUGAGACAGCAAACAGACUACAGGUUAUGCAGUGACAACCACGAACCAGGUAACCAGGCAACCAGGCAAAAGGCCUUGCCUUCAAAUGUAUCAGCACAGAGAGCUGAACUGAUUACAACAAUGAAAGAUCUAGAACUGAGAAAAGUCAGCUGAAGGAAAGAAGACUGGCAACUAUUCAAGAAACUCUAGAAAUCCGUCAUGUUAUCUGGACACACCUGCCCAUCUGUUCCAGCCUGGAGACUGAUUCUAUGUUAAAUGGAGAGACAGUGACCUUGCAAGCUGAUUGGAAAGGGCCAUUUCAAGUCCUGACUACCCUCAUCAAAACCAGAGGUGCUGACAGAGAACUCUGAAUUCACUGCUUCAGAGUUAGGAAGACCUCUGUUCCGGAGACAACUGCAAGACAGAGAUUGAUUAAAAUAAGAUGAUGUGAUUAAAGGGUUUUUUGUGCCUCGUGGUAACCAUGAUUCAGAUUUGGCCCUAAAAAUGUGCAUGUAGCUCUGGUCCAAAAUUAUCAAAAACCUCUUCAUAAGAACAGCUUGCCCAGGUGGUAUUGGAUAUGAGAAUCUGGCCUGGUAAAUUGUGCCCCUAAAUAAAGAUCGGGCCUGUGUCCAUAGGGCUGUGAUUCCAAAUACAAUAUUUACAAAACAGAAUAGCUCCUAAUUUCCUACUAGCCACAAAAUCCUUAAUACUGAUUGUUGUUCUUAUGCAGAUCAGAGUGAAAUAAUUGUUAAGGAUUUAGUUAAAAUUUGCAAGCAAACUCAUUCUGCACCAGGUAGCUCUCAAAGGAGCUCACUGAACCUUGAGUAUUUUCAAUACCUUCACAUCAUGGUUAUCAAACUGAGCCUGGAUAUAAAAAAAUACUCAUAGUAGUUAUAAUUCUAGUUAGCAUCUGUGUAACAACCAGUGGAAAGACUGAUUGUAUAAACUGGAAGUAUGGUUAUAUGUGGAGUAGAGACUAAACAAGAUGGAGUCUUGUUAGUCUCUAAAGAAAGGGGAGAAUGAUACCAUUGAGGUUUUCCUGUUUUUCUUUUCUAUGUUCUCUGUAUUUGUCACACAUAUAAUUGUAGCUCUGUAGUCUGUUGUAUUAGUGACUAGUUUUCCCUGCCUUUCCCCUGGCAGAAAUACAAAAUAAAUUCCAGAACUCCGAGCCCCAGGGAGUAUCCUGUCUUGGUUCUUCCUGAUAGCCGAGGUACAGAACAACUCUUGGAGAUACAUUCUACAUUCUCCUGGACAAAGCACAACUGGUGCUGAAGGGGGGCUCCAGAGAAGGUGCUUGACCUUCUCUGAAGGGGGAGAGAAUUGGUCCUCCUAACUAAUGCUUUUUAUCAGUUAUGCUGAUUUCCUAAAACCUAUAAAAAUGUACCCCUGGGUGGGGGGGUGGUGGGCUUUUGUGGACAUCUUUCCAUAACUGCUCCUGAAGGCCUCCAAAUAAAGGCCUUUUAUAUUACCUUGUUCUGCUUUGAAAAUACAGAUGUGUGCUAGGGAAAGCAGGGCCUUCCCUUGAAAUUGAGAAAUAAAUCCCUCCCUCUGAAUUAGUAUAAUUUUGAAAUUAAGGGGCUCUCAAGCAAAGAUAUGGGGGUAGGAAUAACAGUUCUUUACUAAUAUAUCUAACAAGACAAACAAAACAACAACAACUAUGAAAUUAACAACAAACAGGACAGGAACCCAGUAACACUUCUUUCAGCUGUGGGCACCUUUCCCCUGUGGUGCAGUUACCCUCCCAGCUGGCAGGCAGCUCCCGGUGGGCAGGGGCAGAUGUGGUGAUCCCACACAGCUGCAGGGGCACUGGGGGUGACUGUGUCCCAGAUGGGAAGGGUGGAGGAGAGACUCAGCUCAUGGAUCCUCGGAGUGUCGGUCCCGGUGCUCCAACAGGAUGCUUGGAGAUGGCAGGCUGAAGCAGGAGAGCAUCCGAGCAGGGGUGUGGGGUCCAACAGCAGAAGAGACAGCUCCUGGCUUUGGAUGCUGGGGUGAGGUUUUCCAGCGAACUUCCUCCUCCCAGAGCCAAAAAUAAGCAAAUGCCAGCAAUUCCCUUGACCUGCUUCCAAUCUCGCAGUGUUCCCCCCCUUCCUCCACCCCUGCCCCGAGAGAAACUCCCAAAAAACCAGGGAAGCUCUUCCUUCCCCAUCUAAAGUCUCAAGGACCCAGCCAUCAGUGCUCCUUAGCAUGUCAAUGGAAAAAAAUUCCACAGGCAGAGAGGAAACGAAAAAAAAUAAAACAACCUCCCAACAUACCUGCUUACUAAAAUUAUCUCAAGUUUCAUUUCCGGGCUGGGCAAAAGGCAACACAACCAGACAUGAAGAAAGAGAUGUAUAUGUGUUAAGUGAUUCUCUUCAUUUAGGCUGGAGUCAGAGUUUUGUUAUUCCCUGUAUCAUAUAUAAGGUGGAUAAAACCACAAAACAAAAUAAUGAUUGGUAAGAUUUCGGCCAAAUAAUUUUUGGACUAGAAGGCAGCACAGUGAAAAUGUUUUUCUGAGAGAAUGCAGGUGUGUUAUACUCAGUAUAUACUCAGUAUUCUCAGAAUUCAGUGUUAUGUUGAGUAUUUCUCUUUGUCUGUAGCCAAGCUGAGGUUCCCUGAGGAAAGAAGGAAGGAAAGCUCAUCAGAGACUUAGUGUGAGUUAUCUGGAACAAUUACUCCUUUUAUGUCUCCUUCUUACAUUGUAGUGGCCUUCCCUCUCUAUGGAGAAAACCUUUCAUAGGUGUCCUGCUGGCUGGAGUUUUUUGGAAAGGAGCGCAUACUGUUUGGCUUAAUAUGUCUCAUAUCAUGUACUGACUCUGCUGCAGGAGAGCCUUCUGGAAAUCAGAAACAAUCAGAAAGCAAAACUUGUCACUGCUUUACUCAAGUGAGAAAGAAGCAAGUUUCUAGAGAGAACAUGCAGAUUUCUAUAAGACAAUCAGAAAAAAAUAUUUUUUACAUAAACCUAUCCAUAUACAGAUAGAAUCUGCCAGUUUUGUUCUGUACAGUUGAGCUCCCUGUUGCCUUGCAAAUUGUUUGUAGCUUAUCCAACAAACUACAAAGGAAAACACUGUAGAGAAAGGUUAGAGCCUGGAAAACCUUGUGAGAAUUUAAUUGUUCCACACUCUCUCCUCUCUUCUGGGUCGUUGUCCUCCUGUGUGACUGCAGGCACAAGGGGAAACUGCGUAACUCAUGUUUGGAUGAGGGAGUGGAGAAGCACCUGGGGGUUGGUCAUUGCAAGACUGCCAGGAGACCAAGCUAAGUGCACCAAAACUUUUCUCAAAACCAGCCAAAGGAGGGAAGAAACGAACUGCAGCCACAAAAAGAUAAUAUCCCUCCAGUGAUUUACUUUUUUAAAAUGUUUGCUGCUGGAGUGGAGCUUUAUAAAGUGGGUACCUGCUUGACAAUGUCGCCCUGCUCCUGCACUAUAUGCUUCAUUGCUUCGUUUAUGAAAAACUGACGUUUGCAAUGUAAUUAUUUUAAACUAUUUGGGUUCUUUUAUGUCUAAAUGUGAACGUUUUCAAAAGACCUUUUUUCAUUAAAAUAUAUAAAGCAAAUAAAUGCAAUGUAUUUUGGGCAUUAGAUCAGAAGACUUUAGUUAGGUCUUUUUUUCCAUGUCACCUCCUAAGGGAAGUACACAUUAAAUUGCAUAGUUUGCAUGGCAAAAUAAGUACAGCUUU
Oenanthe melanoleuca is the source of this 4197-nucleotide long non-coding RNA. RefSeq lists it as uncharacterized. NCBI's taxonomy places the organism in Eukaryota, Metazoa, Chordata, Aves, Passeriformes, Muscicapidae. The transcript is spliced from 3 exons. The record is from RefSeq and is a predicted model, not a curated record.